CCUACGGGUGGCAGCAGUGGGGAAUAUUGCGCAAUGGGCGAGAGUCUGAACCAGCCAAGUAGCGUGAAGGAUGACUGCCCUAUGGGUUGUAAACUUCUUUUAUAAAGGAAUAAAACGAGGCACGUGUGCCUGUUUGCAUGUACUUCAUGAAUAAGGAAUGGCUAACUCCGGGCCAGCAGCCGCGGUAAUACGGAGGAUCCGAGCGUUAUCCGGAUUUUUUGGGGUUAAAGGGAGCGUAGAUGGGUUGUUAAGUCAGUUGUGAAAGUUUGCGGGUCAACCGUAAAAUUGCAAUUGAUACUGGCAUUCUUGAGUACAGUUGAGGUAAGCGGAAUUCGUGGUGUAGCGGUGAAAUGCUUAGAUAUCACGAAGAACCCCGAUUGCGAAGGCAGCUUACUAAACUGUGACUGACAUUGAUGCUCGAAAGUGUGGGUAUCAAACAGGAUUAGAUACCCCUGUAGUC
Molecule: ribosomal RNA, 460 nt
Filed under: uncultured bacterium
Lineage: Bacteria
Description: partial 16S ribosomal RNA
Rfam family: Bacterial small subunit ribosomal RNA
Source: RNAcentral